This 457-nucleotide ribosomal RNA is filed under the name Bacillus cereus. Its description in RNAcentral is "bacterial SSU rRNA". It matches the Rfam family "Bacterial small subunit ribosomal RNA", at positions 77 to 517 of the family's 1533-position model. Lineage: Bacteria; Bacillati; Bacillota; Bacilli; Caryophanales; Bacillaceae. The record is from RNAcentral.
AGCUUGCUCUUAUGAAGUUAGCGGCGGACGGGUGAGUAACACGUGGGUAACCUGCCCAUAAGACUGGGAUAACUCCGGGAAACCGGGGCUAAUACCGGAUAACAUUUUGAACGGCAUGGUUCGAAAUUGAAAGGCGGCUUCGGCUGUCACUUAUGGAUGGACCCGCGUCGCAUUAGCUAGUUGGUGAGGUAACGGCUCACCAAGGCAACGAUGCGUAGCCGACCUGAGAGGGUGAUCGGCCACACUGGGACUGAGACACGGCCCAGACUCCUACGGGAGGCAGCAGUAGGGAAUCUUCCGCAAUGGACGAAAGUCUGACGGAGCAACGCCGCGUGAGUGAUGAAGGCUUUCGGGUCGUAAAACUCUGUUGUUAGGGAAGAACAAGUGCUAGUUGAAUAAGCUGGCACCUUGACGGUACCUAACCAGAAAGCCACGGCUAACUACGUGCCAGCAGCCG